GAUGAACGCUGGCGGCGUGCCUAACACAUGCAAGUCGAACGGAGUCCCGCCUUAGAGACCUUCGGGUCAAAGAGGGGAAGACUGAGUGGCGGACGGGUGAGUAACACGUGGGCAACCUGGCUCAUAGAGGGGGAUAACAGAGAGAAAUUUCUGCUAAUACCGCAUAAGCACACACUGCCGCAUGGCAGAGUGUGAAAAGAGAAUCGCUAUGAGAUGGACCCGCGUCUGAUUAGCCAGUUGGCAGGGUAAGAGCCUACCAAAGCGACGAUCAGUAGCCGAUUUGAGAGGAUGAACGGCCACAUUGGGACUGAGACACGGCCCACACUCCUACGGGAGGCAGCAGUGGGGGAUAUUGCACAAUGGGGGGAACCCUGAUGCAGCGACGCCGCGUGAGUGAAGAAGUAUUUCGGUAUGUAAAGCUCUAUCAGCAGGGAAGAUAAUGACAGUACCUGAAGAAGAAGCCCCGGCUAACUACGUG
RNAcentral lists this ribosomal RNA (478 nucleotides) under uncultured bacterium. Its description in RNAcentral is "partial 16S ribosomal RNA". It matches the Rfam family "Bacterial small subunit ribosomal RNA", at positions 28 to 507 of the family's 1533-position model. The record is from RNAcentral.